GUGCCUGCAUGAUGAAAACUAUGUUGGUAGGGACAUCUGAGAGGGUGAUGAAUACCAACAUAUCUGAACAGGGCAU
This 76-nucleotide small nucleolar RNA is filed under the name Nipponia nippon (crested ibis). RNAcentral's name for it is "Small nucleolar RNA SNORD74". It matches the Rfam family "Small nucleolar RNA SNORD74". Rfam says of the family: Z18 also identified as U74 (SNORD74) belongs to the C/D class of snoRNA which contain the C (UGAUGA) and D (CUGA) box motifs. Most of the members of the box C/D family function in directing site-specific 2'-O-methylation of substrate RNAs. Lineage: Eukaryota; Metazoa; Chordata; Aves; Pelecaniformes; Threskiornithidae. The record is from Rfam by way of RNAcentral.